Long non-coding RNA from Magnolia sinica, 283 nucleotides. RefSeq lists it as uncharacterized. Lineage: Eukaryota; Viridiplantae; Streptophyta; Magnoliopsida; Magnoliales; Magnoliaceae. The transcript is spliced from 2 exons. The record is from RefSeq and is a predicted model, not a curated record.
GAUGGACUAACAUUGAUGGUGACCACCAUGGAUAACCAACAUCUAUGGGGCGCCUACAUAAUGGAUGGUGCAAAUUAAAGGUCGGACCCUCAUGAUGAAUGGCUCACGUCCAAGGUGGGCCUACAUGAUGUAGGGCCCACAUCAAAGGUGAGGCCCACGGCCCCACAAUGAACAACCCACAUCAAAGGUUGGCCCCACCUGAUCCACGGUAAAUAUGAGGGUGGAUCAAACAAAAACGAGAGAUAAAUACUUGAGUGAUGUUGGAAACAAAACAUGCUUUUUU